CCUGACUGCUAUCGGAUUGAUACUAAGCCAUGCGAGUCAUUGUAGUAAUACAAGGCAGAUGGCUCAGUAACGCGUAGUCAACCUACCCUAUGGACGGGGAUAACCUCGGGAAACUGAGAAUAAUACCCGAUAGAACAUUAUGCCUGGAAUGGUUUAUGUUUCAAAUAAUUUAUUGCCGUAGGAUGGGACUGCGGCCUAUCAGUUUGUUGGUGAGGUAAUGGCCCACCAAGACUAUUACAGGUACGGGCUCUGAGAGGAGUAGCCCGGAGAUGGGUACUGAGACACGGACCCAGGCCCUAUGGGGCGCAGCAGGCGAGAAAACUUUGCAAUGUGCGAAAGCACGACAAGGUUAAUCCGAGUGGUUUCUGCUAAAGGAACCUUUUGUCAGUCCUAGAAACACUGAUGAAUAAGGGGUGGGCAAGUUCUGGUGUCAGCCGCCGCGGUAAAACCAGCACCUCAAGUGGUCAGGAUGAUUAUUGGGCCUAAAGCAUCCGUAGCCUGCUUUGUUAGUUUUCGGUUAAAUCCAUACGCUCAACGUAUGGGCUGCCGGGAAUACUGCAAAGCUAGGGAGUGGGAGAGGUAGACGGUACUCGGUAGGAAGGGGUAAAAUCCUUUGAUCUAUUGAUGACCACCUGUGGCGAAGGCGGUCUACCAGAACACGUCCGACGGUGAGGGAUGAAAGCUGGGGGAGCAAACCGGAUUAGAUACCCGGGUAGUCCCAGCUGUAAACUAUGCAAACUCAGUGAUGCAUUGGCUUGAUGCCAAUGCAGUGCUGCAGGGAAGCCGUUAAGUUUGCCGCCUGGGAAGUACGUACGCAAGUAUGAAACUUAAAGGAAUUGGCGGGGGAGCACCACAAGGGGUGAAGCCUGCGGUUC
RNAcentral lists this ribosomal RNA (875 nucleotides) under uncultured marine group I thaumarchaeote. RNAcentral's name for it is "bacterial SSU rRNA". It matches the Rfam family "Archaeal small subunit ribosomal RNA", at positions 21 to 903 of the family's 1478-position model. The record is from RNAcentral. Lineage: Archaea; Thermoproteati; Nitrososphaerota.